RNAcentral lists this ribosomal RNA (425 nucleotides) under uncultured bacterium. RNAcentral describes it as "bacterial SSU rRNA". It matches the Rfam family "Bacterial small subunit ribosomal RNA", at positions 354 to 796 of the family's 1533-position model. The record is from RNAcentral.
GUGAGGAAUUUUCCGCAAUGGGCGAAAGCCUGACGGAGCAAUGCCGCGUGAAGGAUGAAGGCCUAUGGGUUGUAAACUUCUUUUCUCAGAAAAGAAUUAUGACGGUAUCUGAGGAAUAAGCAUCGGCUAACUCUGUGCCAGCAGCCGCGGUAAGACAGAGGAUGCAAGCGUUAUCCGGAAUGAUUGGGCGUAAAGCGUCUGUAGGUUGUUUAAAAAGUAUUCUGUCAAAGAUUAGGGCUUAACCCUAGAUAGGCAGAAUAAACUUUUAAGCUAGAGUUUGGUAGAGGCAGAGGGAAUUCCCGGUGGAGCGGUGAAAUGCGUAGAUAUCGGGAGGAACACCAAAGGCGAAGGCACUCUGCUGGGCCAAUACUAACACUGAGAGACGAAAGCGAGGGGAGCAAAUGGGAUUAGAAACCUUGUAGUCC